AUUUCCAUUGGAGGCACAGCCCAGCCCAGCAUGGAGCAGAAGCAGGAGGAGGCGGGGUGUUGGGUGCUGGGGAGACAGAAGGGGCAGAGGAGGAAAGACCCGCAGCAGGCAGAUCACUGGGAAGGGUAGCGGCUUGAAGCCGAGUGGGGGCGGGGGGACAGAAGGACUCAGCCUCAGGUGGACCGCCUGCAAUCAGGAGGCCUGAGGUACACUAGGGCGGUGUCGGCCACUGGGAGGAAGGGCCAGUGGCCCCAGAGCAGGUGGAGACGCCCAGAGGGGCUGGAGCAGUGCUCACAAGGUUCGUCUCUGGCACCAGCACUGCUUCCUACUCAGAGUCCAGAGGACGUGGACACCGGGUCCUGCUGACCCUCGGCUCCUGUCCCCAGCCCACCCCCAACUCAUGAUCCUGCAGCUUUGGGCACCCGGAGCUCUAUGAACCCAACUACUACAGGACGCACACCAGCUUCCAGGUCACAUGACCCAAUUAGGGCCAAGGCCCUGCUGAACUUGCUUGUUUGCUCCUGAGUUUCUGUGUUUCGAAGACAACAAUUCUAACACAUUCCCUAAGGCUCAGGUCUCUCAGGCAUCAAUCUUGGAUCAUAAUGUGAGCUUUGUUUGUCUUAAAGAUUCUUCCAGAAUCACUCAGGCACUCGUAGUCCUCAAGCUACCCUAGUUUUCCUGGGUCUAAUCCGUGUGUACCUAAUCAUGCUGAAAUGUAGAGCCUUCAAGCAAUCAGAAAUGUCUGUUGUCUCUCAGCUCCCGAGGGGAGGAAUUCUGAAUGUCUGUAGCACAUGGUUUUGGCUCAGGCCCCCUUGUGAGGCUGCAGGGCAGAGUGUCCUCCUGAUGCAGGAGCUGGCAUCCCCCAGAGAGAACGACCCAACACCAUGCCAGAAGGAGACCUGACCUGCCAGGACCUGACCUCAGAAAUCACUCACUGUCACUUCUGCAGUAGCCUAUUGACCACCAAGACGAUUCCAACUCUGGUGCCCAGGGCCCGGCUGGGGCCCAGCGGGACGGCAGGAGGAAAGAGGGAGGCCCACGCUUCUCCUCCCAAGUGGAAAAAUCAAGACCCAAGAGACACCGAAAAAAGGGAAAAAAAAAAAGGCGAUUCAGAGUCAGACCCUGAAUAUUGAAGAAGUUUCUUUUUCUUAUGGUUUCCUUUCCACGAGUGCACAAAAGAGUGAGGACAUGUGGAUAAAACGCACACACAAACGACACAAGCAAGUGCUUCUCUAAAUCCACGAGAGACGGACACCCAAAGGGGCACAGGAGAUGAGGCAGCAGCAUGUUGGUGCACAAGAUGCGAUACACCAGUGAACAGCGCACAUGAGGAGACACAUUCGGCUUUGCCAGAAAUCAAAGGAAUGAAAAUCACAACAGGAUAUCAUUUGAGCCUGUCAAUCUAGCAAAGCAGAGUAUGUGAUCCUGCAUUUGGGUCCCGGAGGGUGGGGGGGGGGACACUACUCUAGAGGACAUUACAGAGAUAAUUGGUAAAUUUUGAAUAUGACUUAGAAAAUAGUAAUGAUUUUUUAAAAGACUUUAUUUAUUUAUUCAUGAGAGACACAGAGAGAGGCAGAGACACAGGCAGAGGGAAAAGCAGACUCCCUGUCGGGAGCCCGAUGCGAGACUCCAUCCCAGGACCCCAGGGUCAUGGCCUCAACCACUGAGCCACCCGGGAGUCCCUGAAAAUAGUAGUAUAAUAGCAGGGUUACAUUGCUGAUUUUUAAAAAAAGAGAUAUUUAUUUAUUUUAGAGAGGGAGAGUGUAUAGGUGAGAGGGGCAGAGGGAGAGGGAGAGAAUCUCAAGCGGACUCUGCCCUGAGUGCAGAGCCUGAGGAAGUGGAUCUCAGGACCCUGAGGCCAUGACUUGAGCUGAAAUCAAGAAUCAGUCCUUUAAUUGACUUGAGCUCCGCCCCCAGGCACCCCGAUUGCUGAUUUUUUAUGCUCGCGUGGUUACGCAGAGGUUGUUAGGAAAUACACUGACACACUUGGGGGGUAAACAGGUCACAACGCCAGCAACUUACUCUCAAAUUGUUCAGAAAAGGGAGGUAGGAGGGGGGCACAUGGGGGAAAUGUUAACCACGCCUGGCAGAGGAGGGGCUCUUGCACAUUCUUACAGUCUCUGUGAAUUUGAACUUGUAGGUAUGCCCUGCUUUUUGAAAGUCCGCAUCGCACCACUUGUACUUGUUUUUUGCUAACCAACAGAAAGCUGAGGAGGAUUUGCACUUUAACAAAAAAUGGGGAAAAGCAAAAAUAGCGUUUAGCAUUUGUUUUGCUGCCCACAGAGCUACUCUGGGGGCAUCCCCACCUGAGCAGUAAGAGGGGCCCCUCCGCCAUGCUCCUGCCCCAGACUCUACUCAUCAUCUCAGCAUCAGGCUGCUGGCUCUGACCUGUGUCUGCGAGCACCGAGGCUCCAUCCUGAUUUACUUUGAGCAUCGUUAGCAAGAUGUGUCCUAAGGUGUCAAAAAAACCUGAGAGAGGUUAUUUUUUGGGUCUGGGAAUGCUAAAAAAAGUUUCCGUAUAAAUUAAUGGUGGAGUGCCCGGAUGGCUCCAUCAGUCAAGCAUCUGACUCUUGAUUUUGGCUCAGGUCAUGGUCUCAGGGUCAUGAGAUUGGGCCCUGUGUUGGACUCUGCUCUGGGCAUAGAACCUGCUUAAGAUCCUCUCUCUCUCUCUCUGUCCCUCUGCCCCUCCCAUUCCAUCCUCUAAAAAUAAAGAAAUAAACAAAAGAAAAGAAUUAGUGGUAAUUACUUCUCUGCUUUACACCAUCGCAGCUUACCAAAGGUUGCAUAGCCUU
Canis lupus familiaris (dog) is the source of this 2792-nucleotide long non-coding RNA. RefSeq lists it as uncharacterized. The transcript has 6 exons. The record is from RefSeq and is a predicted model, not a curated record. NCBI's taxonomy places the organism in Eukaryota, Metazoa, Chordata, Mammalia, Carnivora, Canidae.